UUCAUCAAAUGGAUUUGGCAUUAGGACCUG
RNAcentral lists this non-coding RNA (30 nucleotides) under Mus musculus (house mouse). Lineage: Eukaryota; Metazoa; Chordata; Mammalia; Rodentia; Muridae. The record is from RNAcentral.